This 1194-nucleotide unclassified non-coding RNA is filed under the name Bombus terrestris (buff-tailed bumblebee). Its description in RNAcentral is "misc RNA ENSBTSG00005022627.1". Lineage: Eukaryota; Metazoa; Arthropoda; Insecta; Hymenoptera; Apidae. The record is from RNAcentral.
CUGAAUUUGUUUGCGUUGUUACUACCAUAUUGUUGUUUUGUAUAGGGUUAUAAGAAAUAACUGCAACAUUAUUAUUUCCUCCAAAAGAUUCGUCUGCAAACAAUACCAUUGUUAUUAAAUCAAUAACAUAUAUAAAUAUUAUUAUGAUAUAAGUAAUACAUGUAUAUUUAUAAAUACCGCCUGGUGGAGGAGGAUCUGUAUUUUCAUUUUCAUUUUGUAUUUUCAUUAUAUUGUUAGUUUUGACACGUGCCAAUACAGGACCAUAAGAGUCUUUUGCUUUUACAGAUUUUUUCAUUUUUUUGCCUUGAUUUAAUAAAAACAUAUCAUGUGUUCUCUUUAAAGAUCGAAAUACAAGAGUAUGUACAGAAUGCCUUUGUACAUCCUAUACAGAAAAAUGUAUGUAAUUUAGCAAUUUCUUAUUUAAAAAUCAUUAUGUACUAUAAUAUAUUUUUUUUGCCCGUAACGUUACUUAAGGGAAAAAUUUCUUUUUUCGGUUUGAUAAUUACACAGUCUAAAAAUGUGAUUAGUAGCUAUUUUAUAAAAAGUAUAGCUUACCAUUUUUAUGAAUGUAAAUAUUGCUUGAAUUAAUAUAAACUUAAAAGUAAAUACUGUAAUUCACGGUCAUGUAAACAAAUAUACUCUAUAGCAUAGAGUAUAGGGUCUAUUAUGUAUGUAUACCGAAAGCACGAUUGCAUACACAGGCUGGAAACUUUGGUAGUGAGGUACGGCUUUUAAUGUUGAGAGAUGUGCUUUACAAAUCGGCCGUUAGUUAUAGCGCUGAGAUCGAUUUGUUAAAGUUUUGCAUUUAAUGCCAUCUUCGUCAUCCUUACCACUGAAGAUAAAGAAUAUGAACUAAACUAUAUUUCACAUAUAACAUUUUGCAAUUUAUUUGAAGUAAACAUAUACCAUUUCACAUUGCGGUGUAGAAAAAUAUUGUUAAAAAAAAUGUAGAUUAGAUAAUAAAGUUCAGUUGUAGUUCUGCUUGCAAGUACAGACAUAAGCUUGCGCUACAUGACAAAACUUAAAAAAUUAAUUGAAGCGCCUUACUUGAGAACACUUGAGAAACGUUUUCCUCUCAUUAAGAGUCUUAUCUCCAUCACAGGAAGUUUCAUGUUGAUUUUUCACGACUCAAUCGUCGAAUGGUUUUCUCUAGGCUCCAAUAUAUGAGUAUCGAGAACUGUUUAUAUGAUCGCG